This 253-nucleotide ribosomal RNA is filed under the name uncultured bacterium. Its description in RNAcentral is "partial 16S ribosomal RNA". It matches the Rfam family "Bacterial small subunit ribosomal RNA", at positions 524 to 776 of the family's 1533-position model. The record is from RNAcentral.
UACAGAGGUCCCAAGCGUUGUUCGGAUUCACUGGGCGUAAAGGGUGCGUAGGUGGUUGUGCAAGUCUGAUGUGAAAUCUCCGGGCUUAACCCGGAAAUGGCAUUGGAAACUGCAUAGCUAGAGGUCUGGAGGGGGGACUGGAAUUCUCGGUGUAGCAGUGAAAUGCGUAGAUAUCGAGAGGAACACCAGUGGCGAAGGCGAGUCCCUGGACAACACCUGACACUGAGGCACGAAAGCUAGGGGAGCAAACAGG